Molecule: transfer RNA, 74 nt
Filed under: Nanobdellota archaeon
Lineage: Archaea; Nanobdellati; Nanobdellota
Also listed under: 1 other name
Description: tRNA-Ala
Rfam family: tRNA
About the family: Transfer RNA (tRNA) molecules are approximately 80 nucleotides in length. Their secondary structure includes four short double-helical elements and three loops (D, anti-codon, and T loops).
Source: RNAcentral
GGGCCCGUAGCUCAGCCUGGUAGAGCACCUGCCUUGCAAGUAGGGGGCCUCGGGUUCGAAUCCCGACGGGUCCA